Molecule: ribosomal RNA, 272 nt
Filed under: uncultured Lachnospiraceae bacterium
Lineage: Bacteria; Bacillati; Bacillota; Clostridia; Lachnospirales; Lachnospiraceae
Description: partial 16S ribosomal RNA
Rfam family: Bacterial small subunit ribosomal RNA
Source: RNAcentral
UUCUUCGGAUGAAGAGGAUUGUGACUGAGCGGCGGACGGGUGAGUAACGCGUGGGUAACCUGCCUCAUACAGGGGGAUAACAGUUAGAAAUGACUGCUAAUACCGCAUAAGACCACAGCACCGCAUGGUGCGGGGGUAAAAACUCCGGUGGUACAGGAUGGACCCGCGUCUGAUUAGCUGGUUGGUGAGGUAACGGCUCACCAAGGCGACGAUCAGUAGCCGGUCUGAGAGGAUGAACGGCCACACUGGAACUGAGACACGGUCCAGACUCC